CUACCCUUGACAUCCUGCGAAUCUGGCUUCGCAGCUGGGGUGCCGAAAGGAACGCAGAGACAGGUGCUGCAUGGCUGUCGUCAGCUCGUGUUGUGAGAUGUUGGGUUAAGUCCCGUAACGAGCGCAACCCUUGAAUUCAGUUGCCAUCGGGUAAUGCCGGGCACUCUGGAGAAACUGCCGGUGACAAGCCGGAGGAAGGCGGGGAUGACGUCAAGUCCUCAUGGCCCUUACGGGCUGGGGUACACACGUGCUACAAUGGCGGUGACAGCGGGCGGCGAAGGCGCGAGCCUGAGCCAAUCCCGAAAAGCCGUCUCAGUUCGGAUUGCACUCUGCAACUCGAGUGCAUGAAGUUGGAAUCGCUAGUAAUCGCGGAUCAGCAUGCCGCGGUGAAUACGUUCCC
RNAcentral lists this ribosomal RNA (400 nucleotides) under uncultured bacterium. Its description in RNAcentral is "bacterial SSU rRNA". It matches the Rfam family "Bacterial small subunit ribosomal RNA", at positions 975 to 1375 of the family's 1533-position model. The record is from RNAcentral.